RNAcentral lists this ribosomal RNA (253 nucleotides) under uncultured bacterium. RNAcentral's name for it is "partial 16S ribosomal RNA". It matches the Rfam family "Bacterial small subunit ribosomal RNA", at positions 524 to 776 of the family's 1533-position model. The record is from RNAcentral.
UACGUAGGGGGCAAGCGUUGUCCGGAUUUAUUGGGCGUAAAGAGCGUGUAGGCGGUUCGGUAGGUCCGUUGUGAAAACUCGAGCUCAACCUCGAGACGCCGAUGGAAACCCCCGAACUAGAGUCCGGAAGAGGAGAAUGGAAUUCCUGGUGUAGCGGUGAAAAUGCGCAGAUAUCAGGAAGAACACCCGUGGCUAAGGCGGUUCUCUAGUACGGUACUGACGCUGAGGCGCGAAAGCGUGGGGAGCAAACAGG